CACAGGAAAUGAAAGUGAAAGCAUAACCUACAGUAUAAAGGAGCUUCUUGCCACCACUUGUACUAACACUACAGCACUCUGCAGAGCCACAGAUACAAAAGCAAUGGGAGGAGGUGAGUCUUGACAUGUCAUCAUUUCAGCUCCUAAAUGUUUAAUCCUUUGCAAAACUGAUUCAAAAUUGUAAUUAUUCCAACAUUAAAAAAAAGAAAAGGCGCAUUAACAUAUGUAACUUUCUCUUUAGCAUUUUCUAGUGAGCCAUGGAGGGAAGUGACAAAAGGUUACCAGGACAAUCUGGAUUUUGUGAAAUC
This is a long non-coding RNA of Gasterosteus aculeatus aculeatus (three-spined stickleback), 308 nucleotides long. The record is from Ensembl. NCBI's taxonomy places the organism in Eukaryota, Metazoa, Chordata, Actinopteri, Perciformes, Gasterosteidae.